This is a non-coding RNA of Bos taurus (domestic cattle), 69 nucleotides long. The record is from Rfam. NCBI's taxonomy places the organism in Eukaryota, Metazoa, Chordata, Mammalia, Artiodactyla, Bovidae.
CCUGAUAGCUCAGUUGGUAAAGAAUCUGCCUGCAAUGCAGGAGAUCCUGGUUCGAUUCCUGGGUCAGGA